GACGAACGCUGGCGGCGUGCUUAACACAUGCAGGUCGAACGGAAAGGCCUUGCUUGCAGGGUACUCGAGUGGCGAACGGGUGAGUAACACGUGGGUGAUCUGCCCUGCACUUCGGGAUAAGCCUGGGAAACUGGGUCUAAUACCGGAUAGGACCAUCGUUUAGUGUCGGUGGUGGAAAGUUUUUCGGUGCAGGAUGAGCUCGCGGCCUAUCAGCUUGUUGGUGGGGUAAUGGCCUACCAAGGCGUCGACGGGUAGCCGGCCUGAGAGGGUGGACGGCGACAUUGGGACUGAGACACGGCCCAGACUCCUACGGGAGGCAGCAGUGGGGAAUAUUGCACAAUGGGCGCAAGCCUGAUGCAGCGACGCCGCGUGGGGGAUGAAGGCCUUCGGGUUGUAAACUCCUUUCAACCAUGACGAAGCGUAAGUGACGGUAGUGGUAGAAGAAGCACCGGCUAACUACGUGCCAGCCGCCGCAGUAA
This 479-nucleotide ribosomal RNA is filed under the name uncultured bacterium. RNAcentral describes it as "partial 16S ribosomal RNA". It matches the Rfam family "Bacterial small subunit ribosomal RNA", at positions 28 to 523 of the family's 1533-position model. The record is from RNAcentral.